GCCUGGGUGGCUCAUUUGGUUGAGCGUCUGACUUCAGCUCAGGUCAUGAUCUCAUGAUUCGUGGGUUCGAUUUCCACGUCGGGCU
RNAcentral lists this transfer RNA (85 nucleotides) under Felis catus (domestic cat). It matches the Rfam family "tRNA". Rfam says of the family: Transfer RNA (tRNA) molecules are approximately 80 nucleotides in length. Their secondary structure includes four short double-helical elements and three loops (D, anti-codon, and T loops). Lineage: Eukaryota; Metazoa; Chordata; Mammalia; Carnivora; Felidae. The record is from Rfam by way of RNAcentral.